RNAcentral lists this ribosomal RNA (449 nucleotides) under uncultured bacterium. RNAcentral's name for it is "partial 16S ribosomal RNA". It matches the Rfam family "Bacterial small subunit ribosomal RNA", at positions 29 to 523 of the family's 1533-position model. The record is from RNAcentral.
AACGAACGCUGGCGGCAGGCCUAACACAUGCAAGUCGAACGCCGUAGCAAUACGGAGUGGCAGACGGGUGAGUAACGCGUGGGAACGUACCCUUCAGUUCGGAAUAACCCAGGGAAACUUGGGCUAAUACCGGAUACGUGCGAGAGCAGAAAGAUUUAUCGCUGAAGGAUCGGCCCGCGUCCGAUUAGCUAGUUGGUGAGGUAAUGGCUCACCGAGGCGACGAUCGGUAGCUGGUCUGAGAGGAUGAUCAGCCACAUGGGGACUGAGACACAGCCCAAACUCCUAAGGGAGGCAGCAGUGGGGAAUAUUGGACAAUGGGCGCAAGCCUGAUCCAGCCAUGCCGCGUGAGUGAUGAAGGCCCUAGGGUUGUAAAGCUCUUUCGCCAGGGACGAUAAUGACGGUACCUGGAUAAGAAGCCCCGGCUAACUUCGUGCCAGCCGCCGCGGUAA